UCCCGUGAGGUGGCUAAGUGCA
This 22-nucleotide non-coding RNA is filed under the name Arabidopsis thaliana (thale cress). The record is from RNAcentral. Lineage: Eukaryota; Viridiplantae; Streptophyta; Magnoliopsida; Brassicales; Brassicaceae.